This 25-nucleotide non-coding RNA is filed under the name Rattus norvegicus (Norway rat). Lineage: Eukaryota; Metazoa; Chordata; Mammalia; Rodentia; Muridae. The record is from RNAcentral.
UCCAGGCAAGAUGACAAAGUGCCCA